RNAcentral lists this ribosomal RNA (821 nucleotides) under uncultured bacterium. Its description in RNAcentral is "bacterial SSU rRNA". It matches the Rfam family "Bacterial small subunit ribosomal RNA", at positions 35 to 850 of the family's 1533-position model. The record is from RNAcentral.
GCUAGCGGCAAGCUUAAUACAUGCAAGUCGAGGGGCAGCAUGACUGUAGCAAUACAGUUGAUGGCGACCGGCAAACGGGUGCGGAACACGUACAGAACCUUCCUUCGAGCGGGGAAUAGCCCAGAGAAAUUUGGAUUAAUACCCCAUAGCAUAACGGAGUGGCAUCACUUUGUUAUUAAAGAUUUAUCACUUGAAGAUGGCUGUGCGGCUGAUUAGGUAGUUGGCGGGGUAACGGCCCACCAAGCCUGCGAUCAGUAACUGGUGUGAGAGCACGACCAGUCACACGGGCACUGAGACACGGGCCCGACUCCUACGGGAGGCAGCAGUAAGGAAUAUUGGUCAAUGGACGAAAGUCUGAACCAGCCAUGCCGCGUGGAGGAUGAAGGUCCUCUGGAUUGUAAACUUCUUUUAUAUGGGACGAAAAAAGGCUUUUCUAAGUCGUCUGACGGUACCAUAUGAAUAAGCACCGGCUAGCUCCGUGCCAGCAGCCGCGGUAAUACGGAGGGUGCAAGCGUUAUCCGGAUUCACUGGGUUUAAAGGGUGCGUAGGUGGGUUGGUAAGUCAGUGGUGAAAUCUCCGAGCUUAACUUGGAAACUGCCAUUGAUACUAUCAGUCUUGAAUAUUGUGGAGGUUAGCGGAAUAUGUCAUGUAGCGGUGAAAUGCUUAGAUAUGACAUAGAACACCAAUUGCGAAGGCAGCUGGCUACACAUAUAUUGACACUGAGGCACGAAAGCGUGGGGAUCAAACAGGAUUAGAUACCCUGGUAGUCCACGCCCUAAACUAUGGAUACUCGACAUACGCGAUAAACUGUGUGUGUCUGA